Molecule: ribosomal RNA, 441 nt
Filed under: uncultured bacterium
Lineage: Bacteria
Description: partial 16S ribosomal RNA
Rfam family: Bacterial small subunit ribosomal RNA
Source: RNAcentral
CCUACGAGCGGCAGCAGUGGGGAAUAUUGCACAAUGGGGGAAACCCUGAUGCAGCAACGCCGCGUGAAGGAAGACGGUUUUCGGAUUGUAAACUUCUGUUCUUAGUGAAGAAUAAUGACGGUAGCUAAGGAGCAAGCCACGGCUAACUACGUGCCAGCAGCCGCGGUAAUACGUAGGUGGCAAGCGUUGUCCGGAAUUACUGGGUGUAAAGGUAGCGCAGGGGGGAAGCCAAGUCAGCUGUGAAAACUACGGGCUUAACUUGUAGACUGCAGGUGAAACUGGUUUUCUUUAGUGAAGGAGAGGUUGGCAGAAUUCCGAGUGUAGCGGUGAAAUGCGUAGAUAUUCGGAGGAACACCGGUGGCGAAGGCGGCCAACUGGGCUUUAACUGACGCUGAGGCUCGAAAGUGUGGGGAGCAAACAGGAUUAGAUACCCUUGUAGUC